Hypomesus transpacificus is the source of this 531-nucleotide long non-coding RNA. RefSeq lists it as uncharacterized. Lineage: Eukaryota; Metazoa; Chordata; Actinopteri; Osmeriformes; Osmeridae. The record is from RefSeq and is a predicted model, not a curated record. The transcript has 4 exons.
CUGGACCAAUCACCAGAGUCUCUGGCUUCCUCCUUCAGGUCUUCCGCCAUGCCCUUGUCACACUCUUCUCAAGGAAGGAUGGUGUGAUUUGUGUAAAGACAUUUCCCUUCCAAAGCAAACACUCAACUUGACCUCUCCUAUGCCAAGGGUAAAGAAUAGCAACACAAACAACAAGUACUACUGAUGCCUUGGAGAUGUUAAUUACCUCUGUAAAACCACAAAAGUCUGGAGAGACACUAAUGUUGAAACUGACCGAGAAACAGGGACAUUAAUUAAUGUUGCUUUCGUAAAAGUGCAUCAACGUGCCUGGUUUCUUUGGUUGGAGCCCAGCAACACACGCCACCUAGAGAGAUGCCGGUACCGCCUAGCGGAGAGGGAGCAGUUGAGUGAAGAGAAGUGAAUAGAAGAAUAAUAAACACAGCCAGGACAGAGGGUACAGCGGGGAAACAUUGCGCCGCGCUGACCACCCAGCGAUCAGAGAUGACGGAGCCCCCACACUGGUGCACACCGUCGUACUGCAGACUGACCUGC